This is a small nuclear RNA of Dipodomys ordii (Ord's kangaroo rat), 107 nucleotides long. The record is from Ensembl. NCBI's taxonomy places the organism in Eukaryota, Metazoa, Chordata, Mammalia, Rodentia, Heteromyidae.
GUGUUCGCUUCGGCAGCACAUAUACUAAAAUUGGAACUAUACAGAGAAGAUUAGCAUGGCCCCUGUGCAAGGAUAACAUGCAAAUUAGUGAAGCUUUUCAGAUUUUU